This 2116-nucleotide long non-coding RNA is filed under the name Manihot esculenta (cassava). Its description in RNAcentral is "long non-coding RNA (MESC_LNC010457)". The record is from RNAcentral. Lineage: Eukaryota; Viridiplantae; Streptophyta; Magnoliopsida; Malpighiales; Euphorbiaceae.
UUCGACCACAUCGCUGGAUUAGCAUAGAUUAUUAUUAUUGUAACAUCCUUAUCUGCUCCACUUUGUCUAAACCAUAAACUCACCUUUAAAACUUUCCCAUAUAAGUCUCUCACAACUCCGAGGUAUCAAACACUCAAAGCUUCUUUGCUCAAAAAAGUAGAGAGAAAAAAAAAAGCACCCAAGGUCCUUUUGCUUUUAUUAUCAAUUUCCUUGUCUGUGUUCAGGUGUUAAAAGAAGAAGUCAUGUCUGGGAUUGUGCUUAUGUGGGCUACUGACCUUGCCAAGCUACGUAAAAAAGAUCAGACCAUCUGGUCAAGCAACUCGAGCUCUACCACUACUUCUGAGUCCGGCAAACUGGCUCGAUCAGAGGGAGUCUCCCUGACUGAGUCAUUGGCUGCUUUUGUUCAGGGCAUGCGAGUCAAAUCAUCUGGCUUGCCAUAUUCUGAGGCUGCACUUUCUAUGCUUGUUGAUUGCUUCAGUGCUUGAUGAGGAUUCUUCAAACCCAUAUCUUUCUUUUUUAAAAAAGAAACUCUGUUCUGCUCUUUGUAAAAAUGGAUUCUAAAUUUUCUAAUGAAGUUAUAGUUAGUAGCCAUCUUGAGAUCUAUAUAAAUACGUAGAGUUUUAGCUUAAAAAUUUUGGAAUAGCUAAUGAUUAAUGAGUAAAAUAUUAAUUUUAAAUUUUAAAUAAAUACAAAAUUAUAGAACUCUUAAACCUCACAAAGAGAAUCUCCCACUUCAAAGAAGGAUCCGUACACAGAAAAAUUUAAUAUGAAGCAAAUCAAUCCUCUUAAUUUGCCUAAUGGAGGAAUUCAAUCACAAUCUGAUAUGAAAAAAUUAACUCAUAAUUCCUUAAAUCAUCUCCCUGAAAUUAUGAACCCAUGAUGCAUGCUUCACAAUUGAAGGGUGUUUCUCUGUGAGCCAGAUCAUUAAUGGGUUAACCUCCGCUCAAUUAUCAGUCAUUACUUCAUCUCAUGGGUCAGGAAUCAAUGGCUCUAACUCGUUGUUGUCCUUGCUGAUUAUGUUCUUAUAAUCAACUUCAUUUUAGGAACUAUUUUCUAGUUAGAGUGGAUAAAAUCUUAGGUGAAAUACAAUGAGAAAUGAUAAAUAUGGGAAGAUGUAGGAGGAUAUAAAGAUGAAAGUCAUUGAUGAAGAAGAAGAGGAAAAAGAAAACUAAUGAAAACCCCAGAUCUUGCUGUAUGAGAGUUGUUUAUCCAAUGUUUGAUGACGUACUUCUUUUUGUCGUUUGUUUCAUUGGAAAUAACGAACGUACUGUUGUUUAGACUUGAAAAUAAAUCCAUAAUUCAUAAUCCCUGUAGUUGAGGUACCCGAAUUAUUUAUUAGGAAAUUGUAUUGUAUGCAAUCCCAAGUGCUCUAAUGCCUACUAUAUUGCGAUAACCACCGACUCCAAGCUACCUGCGCCUGCGGUAUUGAGACACUCAGAUUCCUUCCUUGUGGACAGAUAAAUUCGACCACAACGUUGACAGAUUAUUAUUAUUAUAACAUCCUUAUCUGCUCCUUUGUCUAAACCAUAAACCCACCUUUAAAACCUUUCUAUAUAAGUCUGUCACAACUCCAAAGUAUCAAACACCCAAAGCUUCUUUGUUCCCAAAAAAAAAAAAAAGCACUCAAGGUCCUUUUGCUUUUAUUGUCACUUUCCUUGUCUGUUUCAGGCGUCAAAGGAAGAAGAAGUCAUGUCUGGGCUUGUGGAUAUCUGGACUGCUGAGCUUGCCAAGCUACGUGAAAAAGGUCAGACCCUCUGGUCAGGCAACUCGAGCCCUACCGCUACUUCCGAGUCUAGCAAACUGGCUCGAUCAGAGGGAGCCACCCUGGCUGAGUCAUUGGCUACUUUUGUUCGAGGCAUGCGAGUGAAAUCACCUGGCUUGCCAUAUUCUGAGGCUGCACUUUCUAUGCUUGUGGACUGCUUCAGUGCUUGAUGAGGAUUCUUCAGACCCAUCUUUCCUUUGUUCUUCUGUUCUGCUCUUUGUAAACGGAUCCUAAACUUUCUAAUGGAGUUGUACUUGGUAGCUACCUUGAAAUCUAUAUAAAUACGUUGAGUUUUAACUUUGAACAGUAGAAUAAAAUUGACUUCAUCCUAUGUGAUGUCGAUUUUGGCUUCUG